AGUCAGGCCCCAUACAAUAACGGUCCUGUGAACCCCGCUAGGCCCGAAAGGGAGCAACGGUAACAGAGGCUUUAUGUGCUAUGGGUCACCUGACACUA
Molecule: signal recognition particle RNA, 98 nt
Filed under: Bdellovibrionales bacterium
Lineage: Bacteria; Pseudomonadati; Bdellovibrionota; Bdellovibrionia; Bdellovibrionales
Description: signal recognition particle sRNA small type
Rfam family: Bacterial small signal recognition particle RNA
About the family: The signal recognition particle (SRP) is a universally conserved ribonucleoprotein involved in the co-translational targeting of proteins to membranes. Archaeal SRP consists of a 7S RNA and homologues of the eukaryotic SRP19 and SRP54 proteins.
Source: RNAcentral